Colletotrichum sp. SAR 10_75 is the source of this 141-nucleotide non-coding RNA. NCBI's taxonomy places the organism in Eukaryota, Fungi, Ascomycota, Sordariomycetes, Glomerellales, Glomerellaceae. The record is from the annotation of a GenBank genome assembly.
GGUUGUGUAGUGUAGUGGUUAUCACUGUAAGCUCUCCUCACCAACAGCGCGUCUGUUUAUUCCCAUGCUGACUCCCAAUCAGCCGGAUUUUGAUCACCUCAAAGUCUUCCGGCAACCCCGGUUCGAACCCGGGCUCGACCU